GUGAAUCAUCGAAUCUUUGAACGCACCUUGCGCUCCUUGGUAUUCCGAGGAGCAUGCCUGUUUGAGUGUCGUGAAAUUCUCAACCUUUCAAGCUUUGAUUAAGAAGCUUUUGAACGGCUUGGAUUUGGGAGUUUGCUGGUUCUAGCGAAUCAGCUCUCCUUAAAUAUAUUAGCAAGAUAAUCGCUGAAUCAUCUUUGAUAUGAUAAUUAUCUAUAUCAUCGAUGAAAACAGUACCUUCCCUUCAGGGAAGGAUCUGGCUUCUAACAGUCUCUCGAGACAAUUCUUUGACACAUUUGACCU
This 300-nucleotide unclassified non-coding RNA is filed under the name uncultured Entoloma. RNAcentral describes it as "sequence contains 5.8S rRNA gene, ITS2". The stretch from base 1 to 71 matches the Rfam family "5.8S ribosomal RNA", at positions 84 to 154 of the family's 154-position model. The record is from RNAcentral. Lineage: Eukaryota; Fungi; Basidiomycota; Agaricomycetes; Agaricales; Entolomataceae.